This 464-nucleotide ribosomal RNA is filed under the name uncultured bacterium. Its description in RNAcentral is "partial 16S ribosomal RNA". It matches the Rfam family "Bacterial small subunit ribosomal RNA", at positions 339 to 795 of the family's 1533-position model. The record is from RNAcentral.
CUACGGGACGCUGCAGUGGGGAAUAUUGCACAAUGGGCGCAAGCCUGAUGCAGCCAUGCCGCGUGUAUGAAGAAGGCCUUCGGGUUGUAAAGUACUUUCAGCGGGGAGGAAGGGAGUAAAGUUAAUACCUUUGCUCAUUGACGUUACCCGCAGAAGAAGCACCGGCUAACUCCGUGCCGGCAGCCGCGGUAAUACGGAGGGUGCAAGCGUUAAUCGGAAUUACUGGGCGUAAAGCGCACGCAGGCGGUUUGUUAAGUCAGAUGUGAAAUCCCCGGGUUCAACCUGGGAACUGCAUCUGAUACUGGCAAGCUUGAGUCUCGUAGAGGGGGGUAGAAUUCCAGGUGUAGCGGUGAAAUGCGUAGAGAUCUGGAGGAAUACCGGUGGCGAAGGCGGCCCCCUGGACGAAGACUGACGCUCAGGUGCGAAAGCGUGGGGAGCAAACAGGAUUAGAUACCCGCGUAGUC